CGAAUACGAAAAUAAAAAUUUGUGCAAACGAACCUGGAUUGGGGGUGGGGAGAGGACUUUCGGAAAAUUCACAAGAUCAGAUCUUUCCCUCAUAACUUUCAGGAAAAUGGAUAUUUUCAAAAAUCGCAAAUUCAAAAUUUCAAAAGAGCUUGCUGUUAUAUUUGCGCUCAUAUUUUUUGUAACUUUCAAAAAAAAAAAAAAAGAAAAGAACACUGUCAUAUUAUUGCGGGAAAUUACUCUGAAAAAGAAAUCAUUGCAGAAAGGUGAGUAGAUUGAUUACAUGUUUCUUUCAUUAUGUUAUCACAGUUUUGUGAGAUUUGGCUGUUAUUUCUAGCAUGUGGAUAGCCUACUUGAAGGCCAAGACCGUAGAAUUGGAAGGGGAGGGUGUUGGAGUUUUUUUUUCAGUAUAUCAUUUUCCUGAAGGUUCUGAGGGAAAGAUUGAAUCUCGUGAAUUUUCCAAAAGUCCUCUCCCCGUCUCUAGGUUCAUUUGUGCAACUUAUUUUCUCAUAUUCGUUUUCUACACAGUUGUUAACACCUAGCGGGCUGGGUUUUUAUAUUUUCAUUAAGGGGUGAGAAUCUUUAUAUUGACCAUUAAAUCUAUUCAAGUACAUGUCUUAUACAUAUAUAGUUGGAUAGGUUGUAUUCCACCUAAUGUGACUAUUCAGAAGGCUGUAAUAUCAUUUGACAAGAACACAGUAUAAAGAAAUACAUGGAACAAGGUGGUAACUUUAAGUGUCAUUAAUGCCGGCCACACGUAUAUAUAUAUAAGCUGAAUGAUAAAUGGAAAUGGUUGAUGGACAUUUAUUCAUAUAUCUACAUGCAUCUGUGUGGGUUGUAUGUUUGCUGUUAACUCUGGUGAGGAAGCUCACGAACAGCGAUAUGUUAGAACCUGUGCAGUGUUGUCGGUGCUGUGUAAAGAUGUUGUUGACGACGUUGGUGAGAGACAUGAUGGUGGCGACGAAGAUGGAGGUUGCUGUAAUGUAGUCAGUGGUUAGACCUUAGAAGGUCUGAAACCAACAGACCCCCAAGACUAGGAGGGGGUGCGUUUUUAUAGGUAACAGUAGGCUCAAAUGGAGUUUAGAACAGACUGUCUCACAUGAUUUAUUUGGAGGCUGCGAUUGGUUUGUUUGCAUAUUGGAGUAAGAGACAAAUUGCGCCAAUACCAAACAAUCAGUGUGAUAGACACAACGGGGUCCAAAAUAGCGUCCAAAGGUUAGCUGUUACCUGUUACAUUCAUAUGUAUGUAUAUAUAUUCAUAUGUAUAUAUAUAUAUAUAUAUAUAUAUAUAUAUAUAUAUAUAUAUAUAAUAGAGAGAGGAAGUUCACUAGAGUUCACUACACAUAUUUUAUCAACUCCAAUGGAUCUAGACCUUGCAGAUCUUGUUAUUUUCUUUCACAUAAUGGCAUUAAAUAUUGAAUAUCCAUUAAAUAUUGACCAUUUUAAUUCCUCAUGUAUAAAUGGUAUAUGAUUUUAAGUGACAUUGCAAAAUCAUUUAGAUCUCGAAAGAAUGUAAUUUUCUGUUCUGAAAAAACGUUUCUUGUUCUUUUCUUCACAUUUGCAACAGUUCUCUGACUGUGACAACUAAAUGACUGAGAUAUAUUACAAAUGACAGAGCAUUUUUGUUCGACUUCCUUAAAACAGCAACUCAAUCUUCCUAAUAACACACUAUAACUUUUGCGGAUAAUGUUGUUCUUAAUAUAGUGGUGUGAUGGUAACGGCUGGGAUGCUUCUUAAGAUAAUUCUUUUCAACCUUGGCUGAAACAACAACAGUUGUAACCCAUGAACUACUUUAUAUGGUCAGUCGUUCUGCUAGAAAUAGCUGCCAAAUAUUCCUUAAAUCAUAUCCAACUGUCUUAACAGAUACUGGAUAAUGUCAUAGAUACUAUGUCAGAUGGGAUAGUCAAGAUUUGAACACCUUUCACUACUGUUUUAUUCAUAAUGGCUGCACCAAACUGAUAGAUAAGUGAGCACACUGCUACACCUUUGGUACCCAGGUGAUCAUACUGAUACCUAGGCGACCAUACUACUACACUGGUGAUCACAAAGUUACCUUGGUGACCAUACUGGUACUUAGGUAACCAAACUAGUACAUUGGUGAGAGCACUGAUAUCUCAUUGAUGACAAUGAGACCUUAGUGACCAUACAGGUACGUAAGUAACUGCACUAUGACCUAGGUAACCAUGCUGGUAUCUUGGUGGCCACACUAGCACCUAGAUGUUCACACUGGCACUGUGGUGAUCACACUUGUAUUGAGGUGAUCAUCCUGGUACCUUGAUCACCACACUGGUACAUUGGUGAACAUAUUGGUACCCCAGAGAUUGCACUGUAUCUAGGUGACCAAACUAGUACCUUGAUAAACACUCUGGUACAUUGAUAACUACAUUGGUCUUUUCAGAAAUUUUCCCCAAAUAUUUUUAUUGAAUAUGUAGUGUGAUGGAUGAAGAGGACAACAGAUAAAGAAGCAACGGGAGCAAGAAAUACAAAAGGCCUUACCUCGGCGAAAUCAGCGGUCUCUCACGAAUUCGACACGUCCUGUCGCUUUGCCGUCUAUGCUGGAACUGCCAUGCUUCCUCGCUGACCACAUGUGCUUCGUCCUUAACCACAUCUGCUUCCUGCCAUGCAUGCGCCCCUCAGUCUUCCGCGGGCCCCUGCCAGCCCUACUUCCGCCCACCUCAUCUGUCAUCUUCUCCACCAACACCACAUGGCUCAUCACGUCCCAUAACACCGACCACAAACACCACAUGGCCCCCCUGAUCUACAGAUCACUCAACCGGCUUUCCCACUCACUCCUUGCUCCCGAACUCACACCUUAACUGGUUUCAUAAUCAGCCAACUAGGGAGGAGGAUGACAUUCCCUCUGUGGUCACAGUGUGACCCUAAGACUGGCCUUGGUUCCUGGCAUGUUGCUGCUGGCUUCAUCAUCUUGUCUACUGAUGUUGUCUUCAUCUUCUUGCCUACUGUUGUUGUCUUCAUCUUCUUGCCCAAUGCUGCUGGUUCCAUCCUCUGAGGCAUGGACAAUCUUCCGUAUAUCCAAAAUGUGGCGUGGCAUACCAUAGACAGAGAUGUUAUUCUUCGAAUUUAUAGAGGUUAUUGUUCCCCUUCCCCAUCGUGAUGUACACCGUGCGUUUUGGGGUUUUACGCAAACUUCUUCUCUCACCUGCAUGGUGUGCUCUUCCUCUGCCCCGGGUCACAUUGAUGCAGUACACGGAUGCCUCGACUCGUACCUGUGUGGCACUGACUCCUCAGCCUGUCCUGAUCUGGGCAACAUAUUGUACCAAAAUAUGGCCUGGAUUGGUCAAAUGUGGCCCCUCUCUGCCAUGGUCUUGAUGGUACAAUGAUGCCUUUCCACCACCCCAUUUCCAUUGGCCGGUAUGCUGCCCUGAAGAAGCGGUUGACCUUCCACCCAUCAAGCAUUUCUUUCAGCACCUCCGAGCGAAAUGCAGUGACAUUAUCCAGAAGCAGUUCAUCCAUGGGCCUCGUUCCAGGAAUAUCUCAUUCAAUACUUUCACAAUUUCCUCUGCGGACCCCGACUUCAUCUCCCUCCAUAUGGCCAACCGGCCCCGUCCGCAGUCAACCAUUGAGAGGUAUGUCCCCUGCCGGUAGUGUGUUAUGUCCACCGCCAGUCGUUUCCAGUCGUGGUCCACUGGAAUACUUCCCACCUCAUGUACGCCUGGAGCAGGGUCGAUGGACUGGCACCUGUCACAGCUGCUAACCACUCUCUGCACGCUCCAUCUUGUUACAUCAGAGUCAACUUUUCUGGCUAGGAACAAUGUCCCGUCCACCCCCAUGUGAUGCAUGGUAUGCAAUCUCCGCAACUCUGAGUCACUCAGAUGGCAUACUGCACCUACAGCCUGCUUCGCAUCCUCUGGCACCUGCAACCAGGCUCGCUUUACCCUGGUCAGGACGUCCACCCUGUCCUUCUCGGAAGGCACAAAGAUCCCACUCAGCUUCAGAUUGAACUCAGUGGUUAGUUCACACAGUAUCCCCAAUUGACGCUUUACCAGCAUCUCUGCAGCCCCUUUGGUCCGCACCCUCCACUCAUUGGUGAUGACUGCUGUCACCCAAUCAAGUAUAGUGGCUGAAUCAGUCCUGAUUUCUAUGGUGCGCAGCCCCCACUUCAAGGCUAGGUUCACUCCCUUCAAUACGGCAUCCAAUUCCGCCACAUUGAUAUGAUUGCAGUCAUCCAUCUUCCUGAGCCAGGCUGCAUCUUUCACCAUGAUACCUCCCACUUCUAAGACAACCUCUAUUGCGAUGCUACUGGCGUCACACCAUACAACCUCGCUCUUUGAUUUGGAAACAUACCAACUGCCCCUCACUGGGUCCUCUGCUCUUACUCUGACCAAGACUUCCUGUAUCAUGUCGGUCGUCUUCUCCCCCACUCUAUCGCUCCACUUCACUCCUUCAGCUCGUCUCUUGAUGAAGCUACAUGUUGUCCGGAGCCAUCCAAGUACAGUGGUAUAAAACUUGCUAGGUCGCUUAUAUCAUGGAGCUUUGCCACCAACUUCACCUUCUUCAACUAAGCGACUACAUCUGUGUCACCGCAAAAUGGUUUGAUCAUCUCAUUCGAAAUACAGGCACUCAUCGUUCUUUUUUUUUUUUUAUGAGCCGAAAUAGCUUGUAGUGUGAUGGAUGAAGAGGACAACAGAAAAAGAAGCAAUGGGAGAAAGAAAUACAAAAGGCCUUACCUCGGCGAAAUCAGCGGUCUCUCACGAAUUCGACACGUCCUGUCGCUUUGCCGUAUAUGCUGGAACUGCCACGCUUCCUCGCUGACCAUAUGUGCUUCGUCCUUAACCACAUCCGCUUCCUGCCACGCAUGCGCCCCUCAGUCUUCCGCCAGCCCCUGCCAGCCCUACUUCCGCCCACCUCAUCUGUCAUCCUCUCCACCAACACCACAUAGCUCAUCACGUCCCAUAACUCCGACCGCCAACACCACAGAAUACAUACAAACCCUAUUUGAUUUCAGAAUCAACGUCUCUACUUGGUGAUUCUAGUCUCAACUUAAUUCUGUUUCUUCACUCCAGGAAUAAAGUAGUUUCAUAACUACAUCCCCUGUUUCUCUAUAUAGUUAAUUACCUAUUGGAGAUAGUAAAACCUCCCUCAAACCACAUAUUACCAUCUUAAAUAUUUCAUUCUUGGUUAAGAGUAACAGAAAGAGCGGUGCUCAUGUCAUUUGCAGGGCUUACUUAAACAAGUGAAAUUGGGUCUGUUAAUGUGUAACUUGUUGUAAACUGAUGACGACAGGGAAAAGAAUAAAGAAAGGUAUUUCAACAAUGAUCCCAUUAUACAAAAAGAUAGUGUGUGUGUGUGUGUGUGUGUGUGUGUGUGUGUGUAUAGAUAAAUAGAUAUAACAUAUAAUCCAUGAUAUGUAAUCCAUCAUCAUCAGGUAAAAUUUUAAACAGGUGAGAUUUCUUACAUGAACCUGAACAAAUUCAGUAUCAGUUGGAUCAGUGGCUCAUUCAGAUUUAACAUUCAAUUAUAUAGAAGAAUUCUCCUAUAUGUGGUCUGCAACAUAAAGUGCAUGAAGGGGGACUGUAAGAACCAGAAUACAACGUACAUUGGGAAGACUUCUAGGAGUUUAGCAGAGAGAUUAAAUGUACAUUGGUGGGAGUAUGAUGACAGGUAACAGUUGUCUAUACUCUAUCAGCAUGCCAGAGAUCAACAUAGUGACAUGCUGAGCCAAAUCAGCAUCAAUCUGAGUCACUCAGAUGGCAUACUGCUGCCACAGCCUGCUUCGCAUUCUCUGGCACCUGCAACCUGGCUUCUGGUCAGGACGUCUGCCCUGUUCUUCUUAGAAGGCACAAAGAUCCCACUCAGCUUCAGAUCGAACUCAGUGGUUAGUUCACACAGUAUCCCGAAUCAACGCUUUAUCAACAUCUCUGCAGCCCCUUUGGUUUGCACCCUCCGCUCAUUGGUGAUGAUUAUUGUCACCCAACCAAGUACAGUGGCCGAAUCAGUCCUAAUUUCUAUGGUGUGCAGCCCCCACUUCAAGGCUAGGUUCACUCACUUCAACAUAGCAUCCAAUUCCGCCACAUUGAAAUGGUUGCAGUCAUCUGUCUUCCUGAGCCAGGCUGCAUCUGUCACCAUGACGCCUCCCACUUCCAAGACAACCUCUAUUGCAAUGCUACUGGCAUCACGCCAUACAAUCCCGCUCUUUGAUUUGGGAACAUACCAACUGCCCCUCACUGGAUCCUCUGCUCUCACUCUGACCAAGACUUCCUGUAUCAUGUUGAUUGUCUUCUCCCCCACUCUAUCGUUCCACUUUGCUCAUUCGGCUCAUCUCUUGAUGAAGCUACAUGCUGUCCAGAGCCAUCCUGCAAUAGGGUAGUGUCCCAUCAGCUUCCCACACACUGAGAACAGUUCCUCUCUACUCAUGCUGAUGCCCAGUUUGGGGAUCUCAUUCCCUCGCCAGAACACCAACGUGCUGGCUUUGUCUCUCCAUAGCUUGAGGCCUAGUGCAGCGCCUCCCUCCAUCGCCUUUGGUGGCUUGGCGAUCAGUCCAAAACUCUUCAGGUGGCCUAUGACCUCAGUUGCUGGCAUUACGGUUUCAUCCACCAGAAUGACAUCAAUGUACGAAUUGGUGGCUCUUUUUACUCAGUCCACCUUUCCCAGGAUGGCCUUGAGAAUUGUUGCCAUAAUCUUUGGCGCUGAAUUUAGCUGGAACCCCAGCCUGGUCAGACAGUAUGUCCGGCCCUUAUACCUGACAAGCUCAUGCUUCCAGAGUCUCUCAGCCACAUGCACUGACUUCAAAUCGAUGAUCGUGGAGGCCCCUGUUAUCUGCCUCCACUCUCGCUAGGUGUCCCUGCAGACAUCUGUGGCCUCGCCACCUGUAUGACAUGAUACAUGGUCAUUCAGCUCUCAGAAGUCAAGCAUUGGCCUGACCUUGUGCUUUGUGAGCUGUACCACCGCCAUCAGCGGCAGGACCCUGCUGUCUACUUCUUCUUCCGAAGGGAUCAAUAUGCUCUCCUUAAUCCACUGCUCCCCCUCCCCUCGAACUCACUUCUGGCAUCUCCUUUCAAAGUAUGCUGAUAGCAGCCCACUUUAUUUUUUAAUAUCGGGGGCUCUCCCUUCCAGUGCCACUCCACUGUCCACCUCUGGCUAUCGAAGACAGUACGAAAGUCCUGGUCUUCAAUGGUGUGUGCAGCAUACUUUUCUUCGUGGUUCUCACCAAUGCACAGUCUUGCCAAACACGGUUUGCCCGCAAACCCGAACAUUGCACCGGCCUUGGUGACAGUGACACCUCCUAAACGGGUGAUUGCAUCCAUCCCUAUCACCACAUCAAUCUCGUCCACCAAGUGGCCAACUGCAAUUGCUCGCAGCGUCAGCUUUGUUCCCUGCACCACAAUCUGCGCAUCUGUAAUGCCUUCACAGUGUUCCUCUCUUCCGUCGACUGCCCUUACAUUGCUUUCUCCACUUCACGUCUCUACUAUUUCUGGAAUUAUCAGGGUCGUCGUACAGCCCGUGUCAAUAAGGGCUCGCAGGUAACGAUAAACAUGCCUUCAUAUUGAUAUGAAGAGAUAACUACUGUGUAGUAGUGUCCCUAGACCGUUUCCCUGUAGACAUUCGCUGGUUAUAUGUCCUGUUUCUCGACACUGGUCAGUAAAUGACCUCAAGCUUGGGUGACUUGCAGUCUCGUACCAUGUGCGGGACCUGACACCGGAAACACUGUCCUUUGAAUGGUCGCACACGUUCCUUGUUUGACCCCUCUCUGCUACUCCUUGCUUGAUCAAUUUUUGUUUUUGCAGUCACUGCUACCAGCGUCAUCCUGCAACACGAAACUAGCACGCGAGCCUGACCGACAUGUGGUCAGGAAAACCAGUCACAAACGCUAACUUAACCGUUCAGUUCAGUAAUUCGCCUUCAUAUCCCGCCAGUUUAGCCAAUCUUCUGAGUUAGUUCGCAAAUACGUCGACUUGUUCGCCGGUCCACUUUGCUUUCCCCAGGCGAGCGUACACUUCGAACAUUUCUUCUGCAAAGGCCUCCCUCAAACGGAUUUCUAUUUUUUCCACGCUAAGUUGGUCCCUUUCUUCCAUUUCUAGGUAUAGCGCCAACACUGAACCAUCUAGGUACAGUGGUAUAAAACUCACUAAGUCAUUUAUACCGUGGAGUUUCGCAACCAACUUCAUCUUCUUCAUCCAAGUGACUACAUCCGUAUCACCGGAAAACGGUUUGACCAUAUUGUUUGAAAUACGGACUACACUCAUCAUCGUUUUUUUUUUUGUUGUUUUUUUUAAUGGGCCAAAAAGCUUGUAGUGUGAUGGUGGAAAAAGACAACAGAAAAAGAAGCAAAAGGGAGAAAGAAAUACAGAGACCUUACCUGUUGACCUAGGCAGGAUGAGCGAUCACUGUCAAGAAAAAACACGUCCUUGCACGCAGCCGUCUCUCAUCAAACUGCCCUACAUGUUUUUUGCCCACGCAUGCCCCCGUAGCUCUUCCACCGGCCCCCGUAGCUCUUCCACCGGCCCCUGCAGUCUUCACUUCCGUUUACCUCAUCUGCAAUCCUCUCCUCCAACACCACAUAGCUCAUCACAGCCCAUAACACCACAAACACCACAGAUCCCUUCUCGUUGUUGCAGUCUCUGCUAGCUGUGUCAUCCUGCAACACAAGGCAAUGACUGUGGCUUGUGAUAUUACCUCUCCCAUCACCAUGGAGUGAAUAUUCAGCAGCUUUUGCAGUUUGACUGACAUGUGGUCAGGAAAUCCAGUCACAAAUGCUAAUUUGAAUGUUUGUUCCAGUGCCUCGUCCUUGUAUCCUGCAAGUUUGGGCAAUCUCCUGAUUUCGUUUGCAAACACAUCGACCUGUUCACCCAUCCACUUUGCUUUCCCCAGUUGACCGCCUCCAUCAGCCAGAUUCCUAUUUUUUCUGUGCUUAACUGGUCCUUCUCCUCCAUUUCCAGAUGUAGUGCCAAUGCCAAUCCAUCAAGGCACAAUGGUAUGAAACUCACUAGGUUAUCUAUGCCAUGGAGUUUAGCCACCAACUUAAUUUGUUUUCAACCAAGUGGUAACAUUUCCCUCACUACAAGAUGGCCUAACUAUCUUGCUCGGAAUUUUUUUUUUUUUUGAGCCAAAAUAACUUGUGAUGUGAAGGAGGAAAAGACAGAAGCAGAGGGAGAAUUACGGUGGUCUUACCUGUCUAUCAAGAAGGGGUCACUCACAAUGUCUAUGUGCUCUGUCUGCCACCGUACUGUCAAUGUGGAAGGGGUCACUCUCAGCAUCCACGUGCUCUGUCUGCCACUGUACUGUCUAACAGGUCUACUCUCAUAUGCUGUCUGCUGCCAACUGACUGCUCACGCUUUGCCGACCCUGCAAACCGUAUUGGUGGGACCUGCAGGCCCCACUUCCGAUAGGACAUGCAUACUCCCUCACUUCCAGUCCUUCUCUCUAAACACAGCCUGGGUCAUAACACCACAUUUACAAAUUUAAAUAUUCGGUACUAGAUAGUUUGGCAUUAUUGCGCUUGAACCCGUACAUGUCAUUAAUUUUCCUAAAAUUUUUUUAUUUAUUUACUAUUUUUGCAGUGUUCAGCUCUAUGAAAUUGUAGUCAGUCACACACACACGCAUGCACGCACGUACGCACACACACACACACACACACGUAUGUUUUUGUAUGUACGUUUGUAUAUAUUUAUGUAUGUGUGUGUGUGUGUGUGAGAGAGAAAGAGAGAGUGAUUGAAAGGGUGUUGUCAUGUAUACGUACAUACAUUAAUACAUAUGCAUACAUCUUUUAUGUAUGUAUCUGUGCAUGUGUGUGUGUGAGACAGAGAGAGUGAUGUCGAAGUGGUACUCUCUCUCUCAAACACACACGUCCAUUUCAUAUACACUACAUGCAUCUUUCACUUCUCUCUUUCACUUUAAAACAAAAGUAAAACAUUUUUAUGGAAAUUAAUGAACAAAACCAGCUGUUCAUUUUAGCACUUCUGAGGGUUCAACCAAAAGAAUGCUGAUAGAUUUUAACAAGCUUUUAUUUGUAUGAUUUUUUUCAUUUCAUAUUUAUUUCAUUCAUUGUUUGCAAUGUUCUCUCUCCCAUUCUCUUUCUCCAUCUCUCGCCUGCACACACACAUCUCUAUUAACAGUUGUUUAAAAAAUAACUUGUCAGCAUUCUCCUUCUUCAUAUACACGGAAAUCACAUUUGGUUAAAAUGGCUUAUUGAUGUGUUUUGUUUCUCUUUUUUCCCCUGACGAGAUGAUUGCAUUGUUUUACAUCAUUUUAUUCCCUCCGGAAUAAUAUAAAUGUUUUCUUCAAAAACGUAUGUCGGACUUCAAAAAUAAUAUGUUUUCUUCAAAAUGGAUGUAUAAAGAUUUGAAUAACACCUGCAUUUGACUCCAUUUUUUAAUUUAUCUGUGUUAUACAAAAAUAUUUCAUUUAACCCUGGAAUUUCUACCUUUAUAAGUAGGCUGUAAUAUUUUUGGCACUUAUGUGAAUUUUUGCUACCCUGGUAACUAUUUUUUUCCCAUGUUAUUUGUACACAUUGAAAAUAAAUACACACACACACACAUAAUAGAAAUAUUAUUUCUAAAUCUCUCAAAGAGAGAUAUACAGUAGCAUCACCAUAAAGGAAUGACCUUUUUCCAACAUAAUGUGGCAGUCCCAGGAUGGGACGAAUGCCACUGUUAUUUAGCCCCAGAAAACAUCGUUUCCAACUGGCUAUACGACACAAAAAAUUCUGUAUCCUUAUAUUUUCUAACAGGGAAGCUCAGCACUUCCACCCAGCACAACUUCGCAUCCAUGGACUGGUUUCUGGGUUAUUGCUCCUUAUCAGCAUGGAGUAACUUGGUUGGCUAGAUGUUGCUACUGAACUGCUGCUGAAAAUAUAUAGAUUUCAAAGUGACACACAGUCACUGAUCUGCAUAAUAGAAAUAUUAUUAUUUUUAAAUCUCUCUACAAGAGAGAUAUACAGUAACAGCACCAUAAAGUAAUGACUUUUUGCCAACAUAAUGUGGCAGUCCUAGGAUGGGAUGAAUGCUACUGUUAUUGAAGAUCAGUGACUGUGGUGAGAAAGGAUCUGCAUACGUUGGGCCUCACUGAGGAGAUGACAAGUGAUUGACACUUCUGGUGAUUUACUGUGCUUGAAAACACACAUCAAGUUAAGUAAAAUUGUGGCCAUCCAUGCAUGCUGGCUAGUUCUGUAUAGCCUGCACUAUGUAAAAAGCACUUGUGUCGGCACCACAUAAGAUGCACUCACCACAUAAAAAGCACUCAUACCACUGUCACAUACUGUGCACUCAUGCCAGCCCCACAUAAAAUGCACUCGUACCUACACCUAGUAAAAAGCACUGAUGCCAGCACCAUGUAAAGGUACUCAUGCCAAUACCACAUGAGAAACCUCCAAGCUGACACCACAUAAAAGAGCACUCAUGCCAGCACCAUGUUAAAAGCACUCAUGCCAGUGCCACAUACAAGUACUUGUGUCAGAUCGACAUAAAAAGCACCCAGUACACUCUGUAAAGUGAUUAGCAUUGGGGGGGGGGGUAAUCAGCCAUACCAAAAUAGACAAAUGGAGCCUGAACAGCUCUCCGACUGGUCAACCCCUUGUCAAACCAUGCCAGCAUGGAAAACAGACAUUAAAUGAUGUGUGUGUGUGUUUACGAUCAUCAUUACAACAUUUUAAUGUUCAUUGUCUAUACUGGCGUGUAUUAGGUGAUUUGAUAAGAUUUGAUGAGUUGGAGAAAUGUGUUCAGCAGCUUUUGCAUAGUCUCCAUAGCUGGAUGUCCUUCCUUACAUCAACCACUUUACAGAGUGCGUUGGGUGUUUCUUGUGACACUAGAACUAGUGAGGUUGCCAAGUAACUCACAAGUCAAAGAAAAAGACCUCCUCAACUGAGUAGAGAUGUAGUGGAGAGGGGGGGUAGAUGUUGAGAAGUUAAAUAUGAUUCAAGGAGUGGAACAGGUGUUUUGCUGUUGAGGAGAUACAUGGCUGUCCUGCAUUAUAUGGCUGCUUCUUUAGUGUUGGUGUCAUAAAAAUGCCCACUAUACAGUCUGCAAAGGCUGUGAGGUCUCUUUAAUUAUGUUGAGGACAUGACACAUCUCAAGUGUUGCUGCUAGGAAAUAAGUACCAAGUACAUUCUGUAAAGCGGUUGGUACUAGGAAGGACAUCCAGCUGUAACAACCAAGAUAAAAAUGAAACAUGCAAGCAUAAUUUGUGUAGCAUUCCAGAAUGUAUGCUGAUUCUGACUGUAGCAACCUGUCCAACCAUGUCAGCAUGAAAAGUAACAAUAUGACACUGAUGAUAACAACAAUGAUAAUGAUAACAAUAUAUGUACAUGAUAUGUGUGUGCGUGUGCGUGUGCAUGCAUGUAUGUUUACUCACAAAACAUGAAAGAAAAGACAGAAAAGGAGAAACGAGAGCAACAUAGUGAACAGUAAUCUCAUAUAGAGAUUCAAAAAGUGUGACCUCCUUCAUACUGAUAAGAAAUAUCUAAGUGGGGUGUGAAACAAAGGUCAUUAUUACUGGACAGUAGAGAAUUGGCAUUGAUUGAUAUGGGGGCAUUGAUUAGCUGUUAGAGACAAACAUAUAUAAAGACCUUUAUAGAGUCCUAUAUAAUGACCUACAUCCCUAUAUAUAUAUAUAUACAUAUAUAUAUAUAUAUAUACAUAUAUAUAUAUAUGUACAUACACCCAUACAUAUAUACAUACAUACAUAUAUCUAUAUCUACAUCUAUCAAUCUACAUACUUACAUACAUACAUAAAUACGUACAUUCAUAUAUACAUACCUACACACACACACACACACGCACUUACACACACACGUUUUUCUAAAGAACGAUAUAUAUAUAUUAUUAUAUAAUAAUAAAUGCCAAAACAAAUUUCUGUGUGUCAGUGUGUCACACUUUGACCCAGUCUCUCACUAUUCAAUGACACUUCUUCUACUCUUCUUUCUGGGGUGAUAGUAAAUAGUAUGAGCUGUAGUUGUGAUAAAGGUGGAGGUGAUGGUGAUGGUGAUGGUGGUGGUGGUAGCUGAGGCAGUCAAGCAUGACAGUGAUAGUAAGGGAUGUGAAAGGCAAUAGUGAUGGUGUUGGAGAGGAAGGCAGCGAAGUCAAAGGUGUUGAUGGUGGUUGGCAUCAAAAGUCUGAAUGGUGUAUGUAUGGCAGUUGUGGUGGUAAUGUUGGUUGUACUGGUGAUAGUGAUGGUUGAAAACAAUCAACAGAAAGAGAGAGAGAGAGAGAAAGUAAGAGGUUAGACAGAAAAAAAAUUGUACUGACCCCCCCCCCGAUGAAUUUCAUGUUCUUUUUUGCUGCACAUUGCUAGUGGAGUGGCCAUGCUUACACUGUAAAUCCAGAAAGAAAACGGGCAUGAUCAGGCUCAAACUUUGAUCACGUGACCACAAUAGUACCAACUAUAAGCAAGCAUGCGCAGAAGGCACUGUGACAAUAAUGAAGAUAUAUUAUGGCGAAAGUGCGGAUAAUUUUUGACUUCCACUCGUAUGUAUAUGCAUAUGCAAGUAUAUUUCUUUGUGAGUGUGUCAGUGUAUGUGAAUGUAUGUAAGUGAAUGUAUAUAUGUGAAUGCAUGAGCAUUUCAGUGUGUGUUUGUGUUAGUAUGUGUGUGAGUCUGUCUGUCUUUGUUCCAGUGUAACAGCCUGUUACUCCCAGAAAUAGUUUUCUAUAGGAAACAAAUGGAUAAUCAAUAUAGUUAUGUCAACUGUCAGGUGGGGCAAGGAAAGAGAAAGAGUGAGAGAGAGAGAGAGAGAUUGACAUUGUUGAAAAGUUUAUUCACCUUACCCUGUUAAGCUCCAGCUACUUUUCCAGAGAAUAAUCUCUCUCUUUCUCUUUCUCAGUAUCUCUCCCUUUCUGUUUUUUCCAGUCUCUCUUUUCUCUCUGUCUCUGUCUUUUUUUGUAUCCUCCCUCGCCCUCUCUUUUCUACUUUUCUCUUCUGUGGUGUUGUUUAGCUCCAGACCAAUCCUAAUUGAGCAGAUAUAUGAUCUAAGGUAUUCCAACCAAGAGCACCCCAUCUUUGCAAGGAUAUGUAGGACUACAUUAGCUAAUGUCCCCUAAUGUUAUGGUAUGAUUUUGAUGGGUGUUUGGCUGCUAUUUCUUGCUAAUCAGGCAAUAGAAUUUUCCAAAAGUUUCUUACUCUUGGGGCACCCUUGAAAUACUUAACCCAAGAAACAAUAGCUAUUAUAGAUAUUUAUAAAUCUCUUUAUUAACAGUUUUCGAAUACUUAAUUUGAGUCAUGAAGAAGGUUGAAGAAAUUUCAUUUUAACCAACAUCUUAUUUAGAACAGAUUUCCCUUCAAUUCUCCAUUAAGAAGUUAUUUUUCUCUAUAGAGGCUCCUUACUGUCUACAACUCUGGAGAUGUGAAUACUAUACUCCAGAGUAUCCUGGACUCAAUAUGGGCAGCAUGUGCAGCAUCAGUGCCACGUAAACAGAAAAAGAAGAACUACCCCAAAAGGGCAAUUUGGGAAACUUCAGCGGUCCGACUUGCCAGGAAGGAACGUCGGACUGCUGAAUGGGAAUACAAGUUGCAUAAAUCAGACACCAACAGGAAGAAGUGGAAUAAAUCUUCCAACCAUCUCAAGCAAGUGACAAAAAAAGCAGUGCUUGAAUUUGAACAGUGCAUAGCAGCCAAUCCUGACAGCAAGGUUUUCUGGAAAUAUGUGCAUUCAAAGCAGAGAUCUCACUCUCCAGUGGGCCCUCUUCGCAACCCUCACACAAACCAGAUCACUGACGACCCCAAUGAAUGCGCAGAACUCACUGCCGAGUGCUAUGCAAACAUAUUCACUGUUGAAAGUCAAAAUGUACCAUCUUCACCAUCACUAACAGCAAAUUCCAUAACAACUAUGGAAUUUACACCUGCAAUGCUGCGACGUCACCUUCAAAAUAAGCGCAACUAUGCCUCCCCUGGUCUCGAUGGAGUUACAUACCUGCUUCUCAAACGUGGUUGGUACUUCCUUUUACACCAGCUUUCUAUUUUAUUCCAGUACUGUCUCAACAAUGGUGCUACUCCGGAGCAGUGGAAAACUGCCAGUGUCAUUCCUCUGUUCAAAAAGGGCGACCGCACAUCACCUGUCAACUAUCGCCCAGUCAGUCUCACUAGCUGUAUUGCAAAACUGAUGGAAUCGUGUGUCAGAGAAACACUCUGGAACUUCUGGAGCUCUCACAGUCUCAUCCGACCCUCACAAUAUGGAUUUGUCCCUAACUCCAGCUGCAGUGAUCAGCUUGUCGAGUUCCUUGAGGACAUUACUCAGAUCACUGACAGUGGCUCAUGGGUGGAUGUUGUCUACCUUGACUUUGCUACACAAAAGGCUUAUGGUGAAACUCUCUGCAAUGGGUGUGAGGGAUGACCUUUUUAACUGGUUGAAAUCCUUCAUUCUCAGCCGAAAGGAGGUAGUCACAGUUCUAGGACAGCAUUCUACACCAUAUGAGAUGUCAUCGGGUGUACCACAGGGAUCUGUCCUUGGUCCCCUCUUGUUUGUGGCAUACAUUAAUGACAUAGAUGCCAAUUUAAAGAAUGCCACAGUAUUGAAAUAUGCAGACGACAUCAAGCUGUACCUUGAAAUCAAGAGGACAGAUCCUGAUGUCUACAGCUCUUUCCUGCAAUCAGACCUAGACACAAUGUAGCAAUGGAUCACAGACUGGCAACUGAAACUGGCUGUGGACAAGUGUACCACCAUGCAUUUUGGGAGAAAAAACCCUGCGUCCACAUACUCCCUCCACAACACUGAUAUCAAGAAAUCCUCCUGCGAGCGUGACCUAGGCAUCACUGUCAGCAGUGAUUUGCGUUGGACAAAGCAUAUCUCUAAAAUUGUCAAGAAGGCCGAGGGUGUCUUGGCAUCACUCAGCAAGACUUUUGUUAGCCGCUCUCCAGCCAUCUAUUUAAAACUGUAUGCAGCUAUGGUACGACCACACUUGGAAUUCGCAACAUCAGUUUGGAAUCCCUAUCUUGCUCAGAACAUUGACCUCCUGGAAUCUGUCCAGAGAUGUGCAACCAAACGCAUACCCUCCAUCAGACACCUACCAUAUUCUGAGUGCCUUGUUUCCCUGGGCAUGGAUUCACUGAAGCUCCGGCGUCUGGCGACGGACUUUGUAAACACCCACAAAGUUAUCAACCACCUCACCAACAACAACACUGAACACUUUUUUGAUCUCCAUGUGUCUAACACACGUGGACAUGCCUACAAAGUCAGAAAACAACACAGCUCCCAUGACUUUCGGAAACAUUUUUUCACGCUCAGAGUUGCUGAAGCAUGGAAUAAACUGCCUGCGUCAGUUGUUGACUGCCAUGACACUGCAUCCUUUAAGGCCCUCAUGCUUUCCAAAAUCCGCCGAAACUACACCUGAUUAUAUAUACACUUUAGAUGAGUUGUAGUGCACCUGAGCACUGUACACAAUUAAUAUUAUUAUUAUUAUUAUUAUUAUUAUUAUUAUUAUUAUUAUUAAAUGCCAGGGUUUCCCUUUCUUGGGGAAUAAAAUAUGUAAAAUAAAAUUAUGAAUAUAGAUUACUAACACACCUAUACUAGUAUGGAAAACAGAUGGUAAACAUUAAUGAUGAUGAUGAUGAUGAUGAUGAUGAUGAUGAUGAUGGUGAUGAUGGUGGUGGUGGUGGUGGUGAGGAGGAGGAGGAGGAGGGGAGGAAGAGGAGGAGGAGGAUGGCACAAAAUAUACUCACAUGAAAUUGUCAUUAUUUCUAGUUGGGAAAAACAGGUGCACAGCCAUCUUUGUCAGCUGGUUCAGUUUUAUUUAGGUGGUGAAUUCAUGAUGAAACAUGUUCAGAAAUCAGAGCGUGUGUGUGUGUGUGUAUGUGCGUGUGCGCGUGUGUGUGUGUGUAUGUGCGUGUGUGCAUGUGUGUGUGUGUGUGGGUGAGAUAAAUCUUUGUUACACACUCAAUGUCAAAAAUAUGUUAUCUGCAUAAUUCAUUCUGGACAUAUAUGGUAAAGUCUCAUAUCCCAAGUCUGUGAGCUUCUGUAGUAUCAUCCUAUAAAUGUGCAGUCAAGCGUUGUCAUUGGACCACAUUGAUUAACAAGGGCUGGUCUCAUUUUGCUCAAGUGAACAUGCAUUCUUUCUAGUUGCUUACAGUAAACUUCUGAUGUAAUGCUCUGGUUAGGCUCCAGAAAGCUGUAAUUGAUCACAUUAAUUUUAUUUUUGCCUCAAGUCUUUUCAAAACAUCAAGUUUAAUGUCCACUGUAAUCUCCUUUAUGGUUUCUUUUUACACUACUGCCUUCAAGUCUUCUUGAGGUUUUCUUUCCAGACAUCUUAAAUUGAAGGCAAAUCCAACAGUAACAACAAUUAAUUAUCCACAACAAAUAUGUAGUAAAUAAAAUUGGCCCAGGAAAGAGUUGCUUUGUGAGAGAAGAAAAUUGUAUUACACACACACGCAUGCGCACACAUACACAUGCACACACAUAUGCAUACACACACACACUCAUGCGCACACACACCCAUGCAAUUGUAGCCAAUUGAACCAAAAAGUUAGUUGGUUGAUAGUGGUGAUAAUGUGUGGUUGCUUUGAUUUAGAUGUUAUUGAUUAGAGGGUGGGUAUUGUUGGUGUUGUAGUGGUCAUAUUGUUGCCCCACUGUAUUAAUGUGGCUGUUUUAGUUUGAAGUCAAUCUUCAUAGACCUGAUAUCAAAGACGUUUCAUUCAACUUUUAAAAUACACUAGGAUACCACAAUAUAUGUCUCUAUUUGAAAUGGACUUUCUCAUCGUCUUCAUACUAUAUAUUAGUAUUGCUGUUGGUGGUCAUGUUUGUACUGACACACACACAUACAUAUGUACACAUUCAUAUAUACAUACCCAUACAUACAUAUGUAUGUAUAUAUGUGUGUAUUUACACACACACACACACACACAUAUAUGUGAUGGACUCUCCUGUCAAUGAUGAUGCAUGAGCAUUCAACUUUUGCUGAACGACUUGUACAAAUGAGUUGUUUAUAGUGAUCAAAUGUUUGUACCAUACAUUAGCUCACUCUCUCCAUCAAAACGAAGGUGUUGAAGUGAUUGCAAAGCAACAUGAGAUGAGGUGUUUUACUCAAGAACACAAUGCACCACCUGGUCUAGGAAUUGAAACCAUUAUCUUGCGACGGUGAGUCCAACACCCUAACCAUUAGGCCAUGCACCCUCACAUACAUACAUACAUACAUACAUACAUACAUACAUACAUACAUACAUACAUAUGUAUAUAUAAUGCAAAUAUUUGAAGUAUUAUUACUGUUAUGAACAGUAAUAAUGAGGUGGCUAGCAAGACUUCUACCUAUACAGGUAUAAUAUGCAAUAAUUAAAGAAAAGAAGGGUAAAAAUACUGCUUGCUAAAAAUCAAAGCAACAGCUUCAAAAAACCACCAAUCUUACGAUAAAUAUACAUAUGAGCAAUGCAAUGAACAUUUUAAAAAUAGGCCUACCUUCAGAAUGGAAUACGAAAAUAGAAACUACAUGUCCCAAUAUCAAUUGAUUUCAUGCUCUUCAUGAAAAAAAACAUGCUCUGCAAUCAUCAGUUGGAAAUAGUAUUUAACAUCUAUUUCUAAAAUAUUCACUAUGUCAACUCAUGUGCAUUUCUAACUAUAAACAUCCCAGUCAUUUUAAAAAGAAACUAUCGUAAACAAUAAAAAAUGCAAAUAUGUGAAGUAUUAUUACUGCUAUGAACAGUAAUAAUGAAGUGGCUAGCAAAACUUCUACCUAUGCUUGAAGUGAAUAUUUUAGAAAUAGAUGUUAAAUACUAUUUCCAACCAAUCGUAAGAUUGGUGGUUUUUUGAAGCUGUCGCUUUGAUUUUUAACAAGUGAUAUUUUUACCCCUCUUAAAUAUAUUAGGUUGUUACACAUGAAAUGUCGUAUUUUUAAUUUCUUGUUAUUUCUGUCAUUUAAAAACUCAAUUAUGUAUACCCUUGCAUUUAAUCUUGACUCUUUUUUUUUUCAGACAAUAUUGGUUUACAAAAUUCUUGCCCACAAACCUUAUGAAAAUGAUAACAACCAAACAAUGUUGAGUGAUUUUCUUGUAUGAGUACAAGCUGGGUCACUAUGCCACAGAAGCUCUAUGGAAUAUCAAGGGGGCCUUUGAUAAUGGUUUUGUUGACAUCAGAACUGUUCAGAGAUGGUUCCAAAGAUCUCAUUCUAGAGAUGAUAGUCUUGAAAAUGAACCAAGAGGGAGGCCAAAAUCAGUUAUUCAGCAUGAUGGGUUAAAUGCUUUGGUUGAACAAAAUCCGAGAACAAUGAUCCAAAACUUUCAUAAGAACUCCAAACACCUCACGCAACUGUUUCUCAACACCUGAAAAAAAUUAGAAAAGUCAAGAAAAUGGAUAGGUUUGUUCCACAUCAACUGAAUAAGAUUAAAAAAAAACAGGUGCCUCAAAGUAUGUUCCUUGUUGCUUUCUUGACUGGGAAAAGAAACAUUUUGCUUUGAAUCAUUACAUGUGAUGAGAAAUGGAUACUCUUUGACAACAGCAGGAGAAUAGGACAGUGAUUAGAUGUAGGAGAGUCAUCUAAACACUACCCCAAACCACCAUUGCACUCUAAAAAGUUAGUGGUCACUGUAUGGUGGUCUGUAAAGGAGGUUAUUCAUUAUUCAUUUUUGCAACAAGGAAAAACAGUAACAUCAACAUUGUAUUGCCAGGAAAUUGAUUGUAUGCAUGAGAAUUUGAAAAAGAAGCAACCCAGACUAGUGGAUAGGGAUGGUCCAAUUUUGCUCCAUGAUAAUGCAUGUCCUCAUACUUCUCAAGCUACGGCCCAAAAGUUGCAAAGCCUAAAUUAUGAGAUCUUGCAACAUCCUCCCUAUUUCCCUGAUAUCUUUCCUAUUGAUUAUCACUUAUUUAAGCAUUUUGAGCUUUUCAUAUGCAAUAAAACAUUCACUUGAUGCUGGGUGGAGGAUUAAAAAUUUAAGUUACAAUUUUUUUUGCUUGAUGGUAAUCAAUGGACCACCACAUCAUCAUUCCAAAAAAUGUGUUUAUGAGGAGAAAAAUAUUGAAAAUCAUCAGUACAUUUCAGAGUGACAAAGAAGUGAGUAGCAGGUGGUUGUGGGAUGUGCUAAAAAUAAUGGCUAAAUCUCCCUUAAAUCAUGCCCCUUUUCACUUGGAAAUUAUUUAAAAAUUAUGAACAGAAACAGAUUGCAGAUUUAUUUCUGUUUAUAAUUGCAGAUUUGGACUGUCUGUAUUUUAAAACUAUGAUUAAAAAAUACAUUUGGUAAAAAGCUGAAAUUUACGAUUUAUAGAGGGGUGGAGGUUAAUGAAGAAAAUU
RNAcentral lists this long non-coding RNA (20151 nucleotides) under Octopus vulgaris (common octopus). The record is from RNAcentral. Lineage: Eukaryota; Metazoa; Mollusca; Cephalopoda; Octopoda; Octopodidae.